Molecule: non-coding RNA, 212 nt
Organism: Pelobates cultripes (western spadefoot toad)
Lineage: Eukaryota; Metazoa; Chordata; Amphibia; Anura; Pelobatidae
Source: the annotation of a GenBank genome assembly
CCUACAUAAAACCAAACCUUUAAUCCAUUAAAUAUAUCACUGGCAGAAGGCCAAUAUGCUUCUGCACUGAACUGACACUUUAACCCAAUAAACUUUGCUCCUACUUGUAACUAAAACAUUACCCCUUAAACAGGUCACUGGCAUUAGGUAAUUUUGCUCCUACAUGGGAGUGACUCUUUAACGCAUUAAAUGGGUCACUGGCAUAAGGUCAC